This 3119-nucleotide long non-coding RNA is filed under the name Papio anubis (olive baboon). Its description in RNAcentral is "lncRNA (ENSPANG00000050463.1)". The record is from RNAcentral. Lineage: Eukaryota; Metazoa; Chordata; Mammalia; Primates; Cercopithecidae.
AGCUGACCUUGAAACAAGGAGAUUCUUCAGGUGGGCCUAAUGUAAAUUUACAUAAAUUCUUAAAUAGAGAAGGAGGGAGCCGAAUCAGAAUCAGAGAGAUGAUUUCGGUAGAACAGCUCAACUGGCCAUUGCUGGCUUUGAAGAUCGAAGCAGGUCAGCAUCUGGGAACUAUAAAAGGCAAUGAAAUAUGUUCUUCCUUAGAGCCUCCAGAAGGAACACAGCCCUGCCGACAUCUUGCUCUUACACCAGUGAGGCCCCUUUGGACUUCUGACCUCGAGAACUCCACAGGUUUCAGCAGGCAGGGCCAGCAGUGACCUCAUGAACAAGAGUCACCAGGCUGCAGAGUCCAACAGGGAGCCAGAAAACAACUCUGGGACUCUCCUGCAGAUCUGAAGCCCUUCCUCCUAACACCCCCUCCGCCAGCCUCUGACACAUGGCAAACUGCCCUAAGACUACGUCAUCAAUUUGGGAAGGAGAAAAGGUAAGACAGUCUGAAAAAGCAAGUAUUUCCUCAUGAAGGACUCUGGUACACAAAAACGAGACUUACGACUACCAUCAAAAUUUCACAAAAUACACCCAGAGAAGUUUUUUGGGUUUUGUUGUUGUUGUUGUUUUAAAAAAGAAACUGUCAGAAACGAGUCCAAACAUGAAACAUGAGUCAUGAAAACACAGUGUGAGCUGUAAACUUUUUUUUUUCUCCAAGACAGUGUAAAAUGUACACAGGUUUUGUUAGAAUAAAAUGGAAAACGAAGAGGAUGAAGUAUCCUCUUAGGGGGAAGACCUCCCAUCCACUGCCUCCUGGGAGCCACUGGCCCUCCCCCACCCGCAACCUAUGUUGUCCCAGAUCAUGCAUGCAUAUUUAUGUUGUCCCAGAUCAUGCAUGCAUAUUAGAGUUAGCUAGUGUGAAACUAAUCAGAAGCACAUAAGGUUUACAUCAGACUAACUUCAAAACAAACAUAAAUCUUGAGAGCACAUUACACAUAAUGGCAGGAGCAAGUGGAAUAAAACAUUGUGACCAGGGCCCCAGUUCCAGCUCUGUAACACCUCACACAGCCUUGCCAUCGGUAACAGAAGAUGACCAGGUUUUACUUUAAACUGUUAUUUUGAUCGGGCAUGAUGGCUCACCACUGUAACCCCAGCCCUUUGAGAGGCCAAGGCAGGCAGAUCACCAGAGGUCAGGAGUUUGAGAUCAGCCUCGCUAACAUGGUGAAACCCCAUCUCUACUAAAUACACAAAAUUAGCUGGGCAUGGUGGCACACACUUGGAAUUCCAGCUACUCGAGAGGCUGAGGCAGGAGAAUCCCUUGAAUUCAGGAGGCGGAGGUUUCAGUGUGCCGGGAUCGAGCCACUGUACUCCAGCCUGGGCGACAGAGUGAGACUCUGUCUCAAAAAAAAAAAAAAAAAAAAAAAAAAAGUUAUUUUAUACUUGAUGACAAAACAAUGACCUGAAAACAAAGAUACACAGUAAGUCAAUGAGCCACUUCUACAAUGCUAAGCUUUAUUUUUAGCACUCUUUUUCUAAGUUGAAUGAACUGAAGAUGGUUUUAGCGUCACAGACACCCCUGAAUUGAGUUAGAAUGAGAAAGCCUGUCCCCGCUCUCGUUAGAGGUGCUGCUGCAGAAGGGUAUACAGGUUUUAAUGAGUCAAGAGUGAUUUUCUUAUAAAAUUGGACGUAGAGGCAGCUUUGCUUGGAAAAGAAGCCAUCUCUGCAGCACAACAUAUUAGAAAGAGCAUGGACUUUGUAGACAAAUAGGUCUUCAUUAAACUCUGAUUGUAUUUCCUCCUUGAUGAAAUCAGAUUAAUAGUAUGAAAUGACUUAGGUUCUUAGAUGCAAGCAGCAGAUGCUGACUACGGUUUCUGUUAGAAAAAAAAGACUUGAUUUAAAAGAUACUGAGUGGCUGACAGGAUUGCAGGGAAGACCAGAGAACCAGGCUUAGGCUAAGGAACUCCACCUGGCAGAUGCCUCAGCUUGCCUCUCAGAUACCAUGGCCACCUCUGGAAAAUGGAUGUCUCUUUCAAUCCCCACUGCUUCCAUCAGUCACCAGCAGUUUUAUUUUGUUUUUCUAUGGCCUCUGCUUCAUCAGGACACUCUCUUCCCAUUCAAAGUCUGAGGCCAGUGUGCCCACACCUUAGCUAGGAGGGAUGCUGAGAAAAUGGAGUUGAAAACAGACCCUGCUCAGUCAGUCAACUACAAAUACUUCUUUGGAAAAGUUGCAAUAAGGCUGAAAUUACAAAGACAGGUACAAAUUCCAUAAAGGAAGAGAUCUUGACCCCUAACUUAAGUCUGGCACAUAAUGAAUGCUCAAAAAGAGUUGUUAGAGGAAUUUUAGAAAGCAAGGAAUGGAUGAACAACAUGGGUAAAAUUCUUAUUCUGUGUGGAUCAUAAUAGACAAGUAAGGAAUGUUUUUUCUUUUUUAGUCUUAUGUCACUAACUUCACUGGAAACCAUAUUCUAUACAUUCUUUAUAUUUGGCAAUGAGAAAAUAAGUUUUCUGAUACAUGUCUUAGUAUGUUUAAACGGGAACUAUACAUUACCAAAAUUAUCAAUUUUAAAAUAACUAGAGUGAAAUAAAUGCACUUAUUGCCAAAAAGUUUUUUUCAUCUUCAGAAAGUUCUAUGGUGGGUGGGCAUCGUGGCUCAUGCCUGUAAUCCCAGCACUUUGGGAGGCCGAGGCGGAUGGCUCACCUGAGAUCAUGAGUUUGAGACCAGCCUGGACAACAUGGUGAAACCCUGUCUCUACUAAAAAUACAAAAAUUACCUGGGUGUGGUGGCGGGCACCUAUAAUCCCAGCUUCUCAGGAGGCUGAGGUAGGAGAAUCGUUUGAACCUAGGGAGGUGGAGGUUGCAGUGAGCCAAGAUCACACCACUGCACUCUAGCCUGGGAGACAGAGCAAGACUCCAUAUUGAAAAAAAAAAGAAAAAAGAAAGAAAGUUCUAUGGCAUUAUACACUGGACAUUAUUUGUUAUAUCUGUAAGUAAUAUUCUGAUAAUGAAAGUAAAUGUCACAUAAUAGACUUCAGAAUUUUAGAUUGCUUCCUAAUCAACUUUUAAAUGAAUAGUUUUCUUAGUGACUAUAAUUUUAAAAAUUAUAUUAAAACUGUAAAAAACAUAUCAUAAACGCC